UACGAAGGGGGCUAGCGUUGCUCGGAUUGACUGGGCGUAAAGGGCGCGUAGGCGGAUAGUACAGUCAGGCGUGAAAUUCCUGGGCUCAACCUGGGGGCUGCGUUUGAUACGUAUUGUCUGGAGUUCGGAAGAGGGUCGUGGAAUUCCCGGUGUAGAGGUGAAAUUCGUAGAUAUCGGGAGGAACACCAGUGGCGAAGGCGGCGACCUGGGCCAAUAUUGACGCUGAGGUGCGAAAGCGUGGGGAGCAAACAGG
This 253-nucleotide ribosomal RNA is filed under the name uncultured bacterium. RNAcentral's name for it is "partial 16S ribosomal RNA". It matches the Rfam family "Bacterial small subunit ribosomal RNA", at positions 524 to 776 of the family's 1533-position model. The record is from RNAcentral.